CGGCGUCGAGCGGCGGACGGGUGAGUAAUGCCUAGGAAAUUGCCCUGAUGUGGGGGAUAACCAUUGGAAACGAUGGCUAAUACCGCAUAAUACCUACGGGUCAAAGAGGGGGACCUUCGGGCCUCUCGCGUCAGGAUAUGCCUAGGUGGGAUUAGCUAGUUGGUGAGGUAAUGGCUCACCAAGGCGACGAUCCCUAGCUGGUCUGAGAGGAUGAUCAGCCACACUGGAACUGAGACACGGUCCAGACUCCUACGGGAGGCAGCAGUGGGGAAUAUUGCACAAUGGGCGCAAGCCUGAUGCAGCCAUGCCGCGUGUGUGAAGAAGGCCUUCGGGUUGUAAAGCACUUUCAGUCGUGAGGAAGGUAGUGUAGUUAAUAGCUGCAUUAUUUGACGUUAGCGACAGAAGAAGCACCGGCUAACUCCGUGCCAGCAGCCGCGGUAAUACGGAGGGUGCGAGCGUUAAUCGGAAUUACUGGGCGUAAAGCGCAUGCAGGUGGUUUGUUAAGUCAGAUGUGAAAGCCCGGGGCUCAACCUCGGAAUAGCAUUUGAAACUGGCAGACUAGAGUACUGUAGAGGGGGGUAGAAUUUCAGGUGUAGCGGUGAAAUGCGUAGAGAUCUGAAGGAAUACCGGUGGCGAAGGCGGCCCCCUGGACAGAUACUGACACUCAGAUGCGAAAGCGUGGGGAGCAAACAGGAUUAGAUACCCUGGUAGUCCACGCCGUAAACGAUGUCUACUUGGAGGUUGUGGCCUUGAGCCGUGGCUUUCGGAGCUAACGCGUUAAGUAGACCGCCUGGGGGAGUACGGUCGCAAGAUUAAAACUCAAAUGAAUUGACGGGGGCCCGCACAAGCGGUGGAGCAUGUGGUUUAAUUCGAUGCAACGCGAAGAACCUUACCUACUCUUGACAUCCAGAGAACUUUCCAGAGAUGGAUUGGUGGCUUCGGGAACUCUGAGACAGGUGCUGCAUGGCUGUCGUCACCUCGUGUUGUGAAAUGUUGGGUUAAGUCCC
Molecule: ribosomal RNA, 1007 nt
Filed under: Vibrio sp.
Lineage: Bacteria; Pseudomonadati; Pseudomonadota; Gammaproteobacteria; Vibrionales; Vibrionaceae
Description: bacterial SSU rRNA
Rfam family: Bacterial small subunit ribosomal RNA
Source: RNAcentral